This 77-nucleotide transfer RNA is filed under the name Acidovorax sp. 12322-1. RNAcentral describes it as "tRNA-Gly". The stretch from base 5 to 70 matches the Rfam family "tRNA". From Rfam's summary of the family: Transfer RNA (tRNA) molecules are approximately 80 nucleotides in length. Their secondary structure includes four short double-helical elements and three loops (D, anti-codon, and T loops). Further hydrogen bonds mediate the characteristic L-shaped molecular structure. tRNAs have two regions of fundamental functional importance: the anti-codon, which is responsible for specific mRNA codon recognition, and the 3' end, to which the tRNAs corresponding amino acid is attached (by aminoacyl-tRNA synthetases). tRNAs cope with the degeneracy of the genetic code in two manners: having more than one tRNA (with a specific anti-codon) for a particular amino acid; and 'wobble' base-pairing, i.e. permitting non-standard base-pairing at the 3rd anti-codon position. Lineage: Bacteria; Pseudomonadati; Pseudomonadota; Betaproteobacteria; Burkholderiales; Comamonadaceae. The record is from RNAcentral.
CCGAGGAAUAGCUCAGUUGGUAGAGCGAUACCUUGCCAAGGUAUAGGUCGUCGGUUCGAACCCGAUUUCCCGCUCCA